This 90-nucleotide transfer RNA is filed under the name Tissierellia bacterium. RNAcentral describes it as "tRNA-Ser". It matches the Rfam family "tRNA". From Rfam's summary of the family: Transfer RNA (tRNA) molecules are approximately 80 nucleotides in length. Their secondary structure includes four short double-helical elements and three loops (D, anti-codon, and T loops). Further hydrogen bonds mediate the characteristic L-shaped molecular structure. tRNAs have two regions of fundamental functional importance: the anti-codon, which is responsible for specific mRNA codon recognition, and the 3' end, to which the tRNAs corresponding amino acid is attached (by aminoacyl-tRNA synthetases). tRNAs cope with the degeneracy of the genetic code in two manners: having more than one tRNA (with a specific anti-codon) for a particular amino acid; and 'wobble' base-pairing, i.e. permitting non-standard base-pairing at the 3rd anti-codon position. Lineage: Bacteria; Bacillati; Bacillota; Tissierellia. The record is from RNAcentral.
GGAGGGUUGGCCGAGUGGUUGAAGGCGCAUGAUUGGAAAUCAUGUAAACGUGUAAGCGUUUCGAGGGUUCAAAUCCCUCAUCCUCCGCCA